AAACUAAAUAAUUUAAUUUUUUUUGUUUAAUAAAAGAUAAAUUAAAUAAAAUAAUAAUAUAAAUAAUUAGUUUAAGUAAUUAAAUUGAAAUAAUUAAUUAAAUUAUACAAAUAAUUGUAAAAUAAUUUUUUAAAAUUAAUUAAAAAGAUAAAUUAAUUUUUUGUACCUUUUGUAUCAGGGUUAAUUAAAAAUUUUUAAUUAAUAAUUAAAUUUUUCGAAAUUAAUUGAGUUAAAAUUUAAUAAUAGUUAAUGUUUUAUAUUUAUUAUAAAUUAAAUUUUAGUAAUUAAAUGUUAUUCGUAAUUAAUAAUAUCUAAUUAUUUAAUAAAUGAAUUUAAUUCAUUAAUUUAUUAAUUUAAAAUUAAGUUUUUUUUAAUUUUAAAUAAAUUAAAAAAUUUUAAGGGAUAAACUUUAAAAUUAAAAUUAUAAUUAAAUAUUAAAAUUUUUAUUAAAAUAUAAUUUAAAAUUUUAAUUUUUAGAAAAUUUUUAAUAAUUUAAAAUUUUUAUUUAAAUAUUAAUUAAAUAAAAAUUUAAUUUUUUUAUUAAAUUUUAGUUUUUAAUAAUUUAAAUUUAAUAAUAAUGAUUAAAUUAGUAUAAAAUUAUUUGUAUUAUAAUAUAAAUUAAUUGAUAAGUUAAUUUAAUGAAUUCGGCAAAUAAAAAUAUUUACCUGUUUAUUAAAAACAUGUCUUUAAGAAAUUAAUUUAAAGUCUAAUCUACUCAAUGAUUAAAAUUUAAUAGUUGCAAUAUUUUGAUUGUACAAAGGUAGCAUAAUCAUUUGUCUUUUAAUUGAAGAAUGGAAUGAAAGAUUGAAUAAAAUAUUAACUAUAUAAAUUUAAUUUAAAAUUAAAAUUUAUUUUUAAGUAAAAAAUCUUAAAUUUAUUUAUUAGACGAUAAGACCCUAUAGAAUUUUAUAAAUAAUUAUUUAUUUAAUAAAAAGUGUAUUAAAAUUAUUUAUUUUAAAUUAUUUAUUAUAUUGGGGGUAUAAAAAAAUUUUUAAAUUUUUUUAUUAAAUAAAAUAUUAAAUAGAUAACUGUUUAAAUAAAAGAGUGUUUAUUAUAAAAUAUUAGAAUAAAUUACCUUAGGGAUAACAGCAUAAUUUUUUUAGAGAGAUCUUAUUGAUAAAAAAGAUUGUGACCUCGAUGUUGAAUUAAAAUAAAAAUUAAAAGGAGAAUUUUAAAUUAUUAAGUUUGUUCAACUUUUAAAAUUUUACAUGAUUUGAGUUAAAAUCGGUGUAAGCCAGAUUGGUUUUUAUCUAUAAUAAAUUAAAAAAUAAUUGUACGAAAGGACUUUAUUUUAUAAAAUUAUAUAAAAUUAAAAUAAUAUAAUGAAUUAAAUUAAUUAAAUAAUAUAUAAAUUAAAAUUAAUAUAUUAAAGUUAAAUAUAUAA
This 1384-nucleotide ribosomal RNA is filed under the name Figites sp. ZJUH 20220009. RNAcentral describes it as "16S ribosomal RNA". The record is from RNAcentral. Lineage: Eukaryota; Metazoa; Arthropoda; Insecta; Hymenoptera; Figitidae.